RNAcentral lists this unclassified non-coding RNA (233 nucleotides) under plant metagenome. RNAcentral's name for it is "partial contains small subunit ribosomal RNA, internal transcribed spacer 1, and 5.8S ribosomal RNA". The record is from RNAcentral.
UCUCCGUAGGUGAACCUGCGGAAGGAUCAUUAUUGGAUUUUGAAACUUCAGGCUGCUGCUGGCUCUCCUCGGAGGGCAUGUGCACGCUUGUUGUCCAUUAUUUCUCCCACUGUGCACAAAUUGUAGACCUUUCAGUAGGCCUAUGUUGUUUUUCACAAUCUCUGAAUGUAAUAGAAUGGUUUUGAAUCUUGGGAAAUACAAUACAACUUUCAGCAACGGAUCUCUUGGCUCUC